This 253-nucleotide ribosomal RNA is filed under the name uncultured bacterium. RNAcentral's name for it is "partial 16S ribosomal RNA". It matches the Rfam family "Bacterial small subunit ribosomal RNA", at positions 524 to 776 of the family's 1533-position model. The record is from RNAcentral.
GACGGAGGAUGCAAGUGUUAUCCGGAAUCACUGGGCGUAAAGCGCGUGUAGGCGGUCCGGUAAGUCCGCUGUGAAAGUCGGGGGCUCAACCCUCGGAUGCCGGUGGAUACUGUCGGGCUUGAGUACGGAAGAGGCGAGUGGAAUUCCUGGUGUAGCGGUGAAAUGCGCAGAUAUCAGGAGGAACACCAAUUGCGAAGGCAGCUCGCUGGGACGUUACUGACGCUGAGACGCGAAAGCGUGGGGAGCAAACAGG